AAAGCCUUCAUCUUCAUCAUCGGGGGAGUGGUCGGGCUGCUGGUGUUGUUACUUGUCAUCGCAGUGAUUCUACUGAAAUGCAGAAAACAAGCCAAAGCAGCAAAAGAUGUUCCCAAACUGGCCAAUAUCCCAGAAGAGACAGAUGAGACCUAUGCCACAGUGAAUGAGCAUCACACCGCUGAUCAUAAAAAUGAUGAGACAGAGAUCAGUCUGACCUACGCCACUGUGAGCCUCACUAAUCUAAAG
This is a long non-coding RNA of Salarias fasciatus (jewelled blenny), 246 nucleotides long. RefSeq lists it as uncharacterized. The transcript has 4 exons. Lineage: Eukaryota; Metazoa; Chordata; Actinopteri; Blenniiformes; Blenniidae. The record is from RefSeq and is a predicted model, not a curated record.